UUACUUUUUUAUUAAUGUUGAU
Molecule: small nuclear RNA, 22 nt
Filed under: Arabidopsis thaliana (thale cress)
Lineage: Eukaryota; Viridiplantae; Streptophyta; Magnoliopsida; Brassicales; Brassicaceae
Description: snRNA_13385
Source: RNAcentral